RNAcentral lists this ribosomal RNA (440 nucleotides) under uncultured bacterium. Its description in RNAcentral is "bacterial SSU rRNA". It matches the Rfam family "Bacterial small subunit ribosomal RNA", at positions 28 to 451 of the family's 1533-position model. The record is from RNAcentral.
GAUGAACGCUGGCGGCGUGCUUAACACAUGCAUGUCGAACGGGAAAUACUUUAUUGAAACUUCGGUGGAUUUAAUUUAUUUCUAGUGGCGGACGGGUGAGUAACGCGUGGGUAACCUGCCUUAUACUGGGGGAUAACAGCCAGAAAUGACUGCUAAUACCGCAUAAGCGCACAGAACCGCAUGGUUCGGUGUGAAAAACUCCGGUGGUAUAAGAUGGACCCGCGUUGGAUUAGCUAGUUGGCAGGGCAGCGGCCUACCAAGGCGACGAUCCAUAGCCGGCCUGAGAGGGUGAACGGCCACAUUGGGACUGAGACACGGCCCAGACUCCUACGGGAGGCAGCAGUGGGGAAUAUUGCACAAUGGGGGAAACCCUGAUGCAGCGACGCCGCGUGAAGGAAGAAGUAUCUCGGUAUGUAAACUUCUAUCAGCAGGGAAGAUAA